UAUAGUAGAGGCGCGGGAUUUAUCAGUAUGCAGAUUGAUACAUGUGGUUGUAGAUGAUGUCUGUUGAAAGGGGAAACCGCCGAAGUUGUGAAUUGUCCACACGAUUCGCCGCUGGUUGUGCAGCUAAGAACUGUAUGACUGUCAUCUAAGGAUGGAGAGCUACUU
This 165-nucleotide non-coding RNA is filed under the name uncultured Coprococcus sp. Its description in RNAcentral is "Lysine riboswitch". It matches the Rfam family "Lysine riboswitch aptamer". Rfam says of the family: Riboswitches are metabolite binding domains within certain messenger RNAs that serve as precision sensors for their corresponding targets. Allosteric rearrangement of mRNA structure is mediated by ligand binding, and this results in modulation of gene expression. The record is from RNAcentral. Lineage: Bacteria; Bacillati; Bacillota; Clostridia; Lachnospirales; Lachnospiraceae.